CCUGGCAAUUGCUCUUCCACUUGGCUUCUGGUACCUCCAGAAUUCCCACCAUCCUCCAACCAUGAAGAUCUUCUGCCUCCUCUCUGUUGCUGUCCUCUUCUUGAUGCUGCUGGCUCCAGAUUUCACCAGAGCCCAAGCUCAAUGUCCUAAUCGGAGAUGUCAACAGCUCGGAGGGAGAUGCGUAAGACGGUGCCCUAGGCCAAUUGCUCGCUGUACAGGAGGCCGAGUGUGUUGCCGUCGCAGUUUUCAGAACCACCACCAACACCACCAACACCAACAGGAUACUAACUCGGCAGAUCUCCAGUAGAGGACCUCUGGUGAAAGGAAGACCACCCUGCUCUCCUCUGAUGUGCAGCUGCCUCGACUGCACCCCCAUCUCUGCUGGGGAAGAAACCGCUUUGCUUGAUGCUGCUGAAGGCGAUGCUGGGAAGGAGUCAAGAGGGAGCCAUCCUGUCUGCCUGUCUACUCAUGAGUAAGCCCACUGUGGCCAGUGGGUCCUGACUCCUUAGUAAAUGGGCUCAGGAUUGGAGCCUGGAUUUGGUUUGCCUGCAAAAAUGCUUUAGCUUCUUCUUUUUAAUAAAUGCAAGCAUUGGAAAACUUUG
This is a long non-coding RNA of Podarcis muralis (Common wall lizard), 602 nucleotides long. RefSeq lists it as uncharacterized. The record is from RefSeq and is a predicted model, not a curated record. Lineage: Eukaryota; Metazoa; Chordata; Lepidosauria; Squamata; Lacertidae.